This 253-nucleotide ribosomal RNA is filed under the name uncultured bacterium. RNAcentral's name for it is "partial 16S ribosomal RNA". It matches the Rfam family "Bacterial small subunit ribosomal RNA", at positions 524 to 776 of the family's 1533-position model. The record is from RNAcentral.
UACGUAGGGCGCAAGCGUUGUCCGGAAUUACUGGGCGUAAAGGGCGCGUAGGCGGCCUUCUAAGUCGAACGUGAAAUCCCCGGGCUCAACCCGGGAACUGCGUCCGAUACUGGAAGGCUUGAAUCCGGGAGAGGGAUGCGGAAUUCCAGGUGUAGCGGUGAAAUGCGUAGAUAUCUGGAGGAACACCGGUGGCGAAGGCGGCAUCCUGGACCGGCAUUGACGCUGAGGCGCGAAAGCCAGGGGAGCAAACGGG